RNAcentral lists this ribosomal RNA (253 nucleotides) under uncultured bacterium. RNAcentral's name for it is "partial 16S ribosomal RNA". It matches the Rfam family "Bacterial small subunit ribosomal RNA", at positions 524 to 776 of the family's 1533-position model. The record is from RNAcentral.
UACGAAGGUCCCGAGCGUUGCUCGGAAUCACUGGGCGUAAAGGGAGCGUAGGCGGCGUGGUGAGUCAGAUGUGAAAUCCCGGGGCUCAACCCCGGAACUGCAUCCGAUACUGCCGUGCUAGAGUUUUGGAGAGGUAGCUGGAAUUUACGGUGUAGCAGUGAAAUGCGUGGAUAUCGUAAGGAACACUCGUGGCGAAAGCGAGCUACUGGACAACAACUGACGCUGAGGCUCGAAGGCCAGGGUAGCGAAAGGG